GGGGCUGUAAUGGAUUUCGACAGGUUUAUGUUUGAUUCAGGCUGCAGUGGAGCGGUGACCUUAUCACCACCUAAAUUUAAACGCUAACAGAAACAAUAGUUUCGCUUUCGCUGCUUAAUCUAACUUACGCAUAACGCGUCGCAGCGACCCGGCCGUACUUUAGCCGUUAUGUACGUGCUACGUAACUCAAACGGAUAAGGCGAGUCUUAAGCCUGUAAGGCAAGCCCGACAAUUCACAGGCAGAUUCAGCUGACGGUUAGCCCACUGACAUGUCCGCUGUCUUAUUCAACCAGUGGGAUAAACUGUAGACGCAGGAAUGUGGGACAACUCUUGGACAGGGGUUCGACUCCCCUCAGCUCCACU
This 363-nucleotide transfer-messenger RNA is filed under the name uncultured Bulleidia sp. It matches the Rfam family "transfer-messenger RNA". From Rfam's summary of the family: Bacterial tmRNA, also known as 10Sa RNA or SsrA, is named for its dual tRNA and mRNA-like properties. The record is from RNAcentral. Lineage: Bacteria; Bacillati; Bacillota; Erysipelotrichia; Erysipelotrichales; Erysipelotrichaceae.